GUCAAGUCAGAGUUAUCAAUUGUCAAACGACAACGUGAGAAAAUUUAUUUAUUUUUAUUUUUUCUCUUUAACAUUUAUACAUUAUUUACGUUAUUUAAACAAUUUUUAUGACUUCAUGCUGUUGUAAUAAAAAGUAAUAUACAAUGACUGCUGAAGUAGCAACUCGUUCUAAAGAUUGUACGCCGUGCAGACUAUUCGGAGCCGCUGGUUUGGUGGGUAUUGGCGGAUAUUUAGCAAAUGCUGCGUGGAAAAACAAAACAUUUGCCGGGAAAUACACUGUCUCAAUUCUUUCCUUUGGUUUCAUCUGGCUUGGUAUACAAAGAUAUAAACAGGCAUUCCCUUUUAACAAAAAGGAAACUCAGAGUUAAAUGAUUAAAAACAACUCUUAUUAGUAAAAAGUAUAUACUGUUAAGUAUAUUACAUAUAUUCUGAAAUAUGUGAUAAUAUAUCAUUAAGUCUUCAAUGUAA
Long non-coding RNA from Galleria mellonella (greater wax moth), 468 nucleotides. RefSeq lists it as uncharacterized. The record is from RefSeq and is a predicted model, not a curated record. NCBI's taxonomy places the organism in Eukaryota, Metazoa, Arthropoda, Insecta, Lepidoptera, Pyralidae. The transcript has 2 exons.